GCGGAGGAAAAGAAAAUAACAAUGAUUUCCCUAGUAACGGCGAGUGAAGAGGAAAAAGCUCAAAGUUGGAACCUAUUUGGCUUAGCUAAAUCGGAUUGUAAACUGUAGAAGUGUUUUCCUGACACGCCAGAUAAAUAAGUCCUUUGGAACAGGGCAUCAUAGAGGGUGAGAAUCCCGUCUUUGGUCUGAGCAGUUGUCUUUUGUGAUACAUUUUCAAAGAGUCAGGUUGUUUGGGAAUGCAGCCUAAAUUGGGUGGUAAAUCUCACCUAAAGCUAAAUAUUUGCGAGAGACCGAUAGCGAACAAGUACCGUGAGGGAAAGAUGAAAAGAACUUUGAAAAGAGAGUUAAACAGUAUGUGAAAUUGUUAAAAGGGAACCGUUUGGAGCCAGACUGGCUUGACUGUAAUCAAUCUAGAUUCUUCUGGAUGCACUUGCAGUUUAUGCCUGCCAAUGACAAUUUGUUUUGAGGGAAAAAACUGGGAAGAAUGUGGCCCCUUUUGGGGUGUUAUAGCUUCUUAGAAAAUACCUUGGAAUGGAUUGAGGAUCGCAGCGAAUGUCUUUUAGGCAAGAUUGCUGGGUGCUUUUGCUAAUAAAUGCUAGAAUUUCUGCUUUUAGGUGGUGCUAGUGUUUAAAGGCAAAACUCGCUUGGUAUAUUUUUUAUUCGCUUAGGUUGUUGGCUUAAUGACUCUAAAUGAC
This 695-nucleotide ribosomal RNA is filed under the name Circinella simplex. RNAcentral's name for it is "eukaryotic LSU rRNA". It matches the Rfam family "Eukaryotic large subunit ribosomal RNA", at positions 50 to 648 of the family's 3401-position model. Lineage: Eukaryota; Fungi; Mucoromycota; Mucoromycetes; Mucorales; Lichtheimiaceae. The record is from RNAcentral.